Molecule: ribosomal RNA, 121 nt
Filed under: Bison bison bison
Lineage: Eukaryota; Metazoa; Chordata; Mammalia; Artiodactyla; Bovidae
Source: RNAcentral
CGUUCAGGCCGUAUCAGCCUGAAGGGCCCGAUCUUGUCUGAUCUCGGAAGCUAAGCAGGGUCGGGCCUGGUUAGUAUCUUGGAUCGGGAGACCACCUUGGGAAUCCCGGGUGCUCGAGGCU